GAGUUUGAUCGUGACUCAGAUUGAACGCUGGCGGCAGGCCUAACACAUGCAAGUCGAGCGGAUGAAGGGAGCUUGCUCCUGGAUUCAGCGGCGGACGGGUGAGUAAUGCCUAGGAAUCUGCCUGGUUGUGGGGAUAACGUCCGGAAACGGGCGCUAAUACCGCAUACGUCCUGAGGGAGAAAGUGGGGGAUCUUCGGACCUCACGCUAUCAGACGAGCCUAGGUCGGAUUAGCUAGUUGGUGGGGUAAAGGCCUACCAAGGCGACGAUCCGUAACUGGUCUGAGAGGAUGAUCAGUCACACUGGAACUGAGACGCGGUCCAGACUCCUACGGGAGGCAGCAGUGGGGAAUAUUGGACAAUGGGCGAAAGCCUGAUCCAGCCAUGCCGCGUGUGUGAAGAAGGUCUUCGGAUUGUAAAGCACUUUAAGUUGGGAGGAAGGGCAGUAAGUUAAUACCUUGCUGUUUGACGUUACCAACAGAAUAAGCACCGGCUAACUUCGUGCAAGCAGCAGCCGACCG
This 518-nucleotide ribosomal RNA is filed under the name uncultured microorganism. RNAcentral's name for it is "bacterial SSU rRNA". It matches the Rfam family "Bacterial small subunit ribosomal RNA", at positions 9 to 524 of the family's 1533-position model. The record is from RNAcentral.